This 613-nucleotide ribosomal RNA is filed under the name Oenococcus oeni. RNAcentral's name for it is "bacterial SSU rRNA". It matches the Rfam family "Bacterial small subunit ribosomal RNA", at positions 87 to 688 of the family's 1533-position model. Lineage: Bacteria; Bacillati; Bacillota; Bacilli; Lactobacillales; Lactobacillaceae. The record is from RNAcentral.
UGACUAGAGUGGCGAACUGGUGAGUAACACGUAAGAAACCUGCCCUUUAGUGGGGGAUAACAUUUGGAAACAGAUGCUAAUACCGCGUAACAACAAAUCACACAUGUGAUCUGUUUGAAAGGUCCUUUUGGAUCGCUAGAGGAUGGUCUUGCGGCGUAUUAGCUUGUUGGUAGGGUAGAAGCCUACCAAGGCAAUGAUGCGUAGCCGAGUUGAGAGACUGGCCGGCCACAUUGGGACUGAGACACUGCCCAAACUCCUACGGGAGGCUGCAGUAGGGAAUUUUCCGCAAUGCACGAAAGUGUGACGGAGCGACGCCGCGUGUGUGAUGAAGGCUUUCGGGUCGUAAAGCACUGUUGUAAGGGAAGAAUAACUGAAUUCAGAGAAAGUUUUCAGCUUGACGGUACCUUACCAGAAAGGGAUGGCUAAAUACGUGCCAGCAGCCGCGGUAAUACGUAUGUCCCGAGCGUUAUCCGGAUUUAUUGGGCGUAAAGCGAGCGCAGACGGUUUAUUAAGUCUGAUGUGAAAUCCCGAGGCCCAACCUCGGAACUGCAUUGGAAACUGAUUUACUUGAGUGCGAUAGAGGCAAGUGGAACUCCAUGUGUAGCGGUGAAUG